RNAcentral lists this ribosomal RNA (375 nucleotides) under uncultured bacterium. RNAcentral describes it as "bacterial SSU rRNA". It matches the Rfam family "Bacterial small subunit ribosomal RNA", at positions 521 to 896 of the family's 1533-position model. The record is from RNAcentral.
UAAUACAGAGGGUGCGAGCGUUAAUCGGAAUUACUGGGCGUAAAGGGCGCGUAGGCGGUUUAUUGGGUGUGAUGUGAAAGCCCCGGGCUUAACCUGGGAAGUGCAUCGCAAACUAAUAGACUGGAGUAGAUGAGAGGGUGGCGGAAUUUCCGGUGUAGCGGUGAAAUGCGUAGAGAUCGGAAGGAACGUCAAUGGCGAAGGCAGCCACCUGGCAUCAUACUGACGCUGAGGCGCGAGAGCGUGGGGAGCGAACAGGAUUAGAUACCCUGGUAGUCCACGCUGUAAACGAUGAGGACUAGAUGUUGCUGGGGGAACCUAGCAGUAUCGAAGCUAACGCGAUAAGUCUUCCGCCUGGGAAGUACGGCCGCAAGGUUG